This 555-nucleotide long non-coding RNA is filed under the name Panax ginseng (ginseng). RNAcentral's name for it is "long non-coding RNA (PGIN_LNC019157)". The record is from RNAcentral. Lineage: Eukaryota; Viridiplantae; Streptophyta; Magnoliopsida; Apiales; Araliaceae.
CGUUUUUAAUUUCGUGUUUUGCAAUAUCGAGGUAAGUGGUUUUCCGAACUAUUUAGUGUUUUUAAGAUUAUCGUUACUUUUAAGUAUGCCUUAAAAAUUAUUCGGAUGCCUAAAUGUACAGUUUCAAAAUUUGUUAUCUUUUAUUUAAGGCUUCCCCAUUUAAAUUAAAUUGUUAUGUUCUUUUAUUUCAAAAUUCGGAUCAAGUAUUUAUUUUCGAACUGUGAAUGAGAUUAUAUGAUUUUGAACUGUGAAAAAGUAUCGUUUAUAUUAUCGAUAAUAUUGAGAAAAGUUUUUGAAAUCCUCAGUCUGACUAUGUAUAGAACCCGUUAUUGAUUACGUUUAGUUCCGGAGCUAAUAUAGGACCUACUAAGGCGCACACCUUUUAGAUGCCCUUCGGGGAGCGUGCAUUUUUAUAGAUACCUUAGUAGGGUGCGUAUCAUAACGUUAUCGAACUUUUGGGCCGUGUUACAGGGCUAUUGUAACCUUAGUCGCUAAGGCUGUGGAUUAAAAGAUUUAUGAUAUACAUUGAAAUCAUUUUUGAAUUGUUUUAGUUUU